This 329-nucleotide unclassified non-coding RNA is filed under the name soil metagenome. RNAcentral's name for it is "partial contains 5.8S ribosomal RNA, internal transcribed spacer 2, and large subunit ribosomal RNA". The stretch from base 1 to 120 matches the Rfam family "5.8S ribosomal RNA", at positions 35 to 154 of the family's 154-position model. The record is from RNAcentral.
GAUGAAGAACGUAGCGAAAUGCGAUAAGUAGUGUGAAUUGCAGAAUUCAGUGAAUCAUCGAAUCUUUGAACGCACAUUGCGCCCCUUGGUAUCCCGAGGGGCAUGCCUGUUCGAGCGUCAUUUCACCACUCAAGCCUGGCUUGGUGUUGGGCGACGUCCUCUUUGGGGACGCGCCUCGAAACGCUCGGCGGCGUGGCACCGGCUUUAAGCGUAGCAGAAUCUUUCGCUUUGGAAGUCGGGGCCCCGUCUGCCGGAAGGCCUGCUCGCAAGGUUGACCUCGGAUCAGGCAGGGAUACCCGCUGAACUUAAGCAUAUCAAUAAGCGGAGGA